This 251-nucleotide ribosomal RNA is filed under the name uncultured bacterium. Its description in RNAcentral is "partial 16S ribosomal RNA". It matches the Rfam family "Bacterial small subunit ribosomal RNA", at positions 525 to 775 of the family's 1533-position model. The record is from RNAcentral.
ACGGAGGGUGCAAGCGUUGUCCGGAAUCAUUGGGCGUAAAGAGUUCGUAGGCGGCAUGUAAAGUCAGGUGUUAAAGGCUGAGGCUCAACCUCAGUAUGGCACUUGAUACUUGCAAGCUAGAAUGCGGUAGAGGUAAAGGGAAUUCCUGGUGUAGCGGUGAAAUGCUUAGAUAUCAGGAGGAACAUCGGUGGCGUAAGCGCUUUACUGGGCCGUAAUUGACGCUGAGGAACGAAAGCCAGGGUAGCAAAUGG